RNAcentral lists this transfer RNA (82 nucleotides) under Bacteroidales bacterium. Its description in RNAcentral is "tRNA-Leu". It matches the Rfam family "tRNA". Rfam says of the family: Transfer RNA (tRNA) molecules are approximately 80 nucleotides in length. Their secondary structure includes four short double-helical elements and three loops (D, anti-codon, and T loops). Further hydrogen bonds mediate the characteristic L-shaped molecular structure. tRNAs have two regions of fundamental functional importance: the anti-codon, which is responsible for specific mRNA codon recognition, and the 3' end, to which the tRNAs corresponding amino acid is attached (by aminoacyl-tRNA synthetases). tRNAs cope with the degeneracy of the genetic code in two manners: having more than one tRNA (with a specific anti-codon) for a particular amino acid; and 'wobble' base-pairing, i.e. permitting non-standard base-pairing at the 3rd anti-codon position. Lineage: Bacteria; Pseudomonadati; Bacteroidota; Bacteroidia; Bacteroidales. RNAcentral also lists the same sequence under 3 other names. The record is from RNAcentral.
GCCCGAGUGGCGGAAUUGGUAGACGCGUCGGUCUCAAAAACCGAUGAGGAAACUCGUGCCGGUUCGAUUCCGGCCUCGGGUA